Molecule: ribosomal RNA, 476 nt
Filed under: uncultured bacterium
Lineage: Bacteria
Description: bacterial SSU rRNA
Rfam family: Bacterial small subunit ribosomal RNA
Source: RNAcentral
GGUGAACGCUGGCGGCGUGCCUAACACAUGCAAGUCGAGCGGUGCAGUUUGAAGCUUCGGUGGAAAGCUGCAUAGCGGCGGACGGGUGAGGAAAACGUAGGAACGUGCCCCUUGGAGUUGGAUAGCCACGGGAAACUGUGGGUAAACCGACAUAGACUCGAGAGAGUAAAGGCCGAAAGGCGCCAAGGGAGCGGCCUGCGGCCCAUCAGGUAGUUGGUAGUGUAAAGGACUACCAAGCCGACGACGGGUAGCCGGUCUGAGAGGGUGGCCGGCCACAAGGGCACUGAGAGACGGGCCCUACUCCUACGGGAGGCAGCAGUGGGGGAUUUUGGACAAUGGGCGAAAGGCCUGACCCAGCCAUGCCGCGUGAAGGAAGACGGCCUUAUGGGUUGUAAACUUCUUUACUACGCGAAUAGAGGUUAGUACGAGAUACUAAUAGGAAGGUAGUGUAGUAAAAAGCACCGGCUAACUCCGUG